Non-coding RNA from Dallia pectoralis (Alaska blackfish), 74 nucleotides. Lineage: Eukaryota; Metazoa; Chordata; Actinopteri; Esociformes; Umbridae. The record is from the annotation of a GenBank genome assembly.
CCCUGUUUGGUGUAGUGGUUAGCGCACUCGGCUGCGGAGCCAGAAGACCCUGGUUCAAUUCCCCCGACCAGAUU